CCCGCCGCCAGCUCCGCGUCCGAGCCCCCAGCCGCUGCCUCUUUGUCUGCACCCGGGACGCCGCUCUGGAGAAACGAACCUCAGACCCCCGGCGCGCCCGCCAUCCAGCUCUCAGAUCCCAGAGAGGACCGGGAUGGGGAAGAAGGUGCGAGGAAACCCGAGAGGCCUGGACCAAGGGGCUUCUCAUCAUCUCGAUCCAGGGUGAGAAAUCCUUUGAAAUAAGCUCGGAGGAGCUGCCCACAGCUGGUUAACUUUAGGGAGCGUCCUCUCUGCCCUCCUCGCCCUCCAAGUAAGACCCAGGGUGAGCAACCUCUGGGGAAAGCACUGCAGCAAAUGAAGCUUGAGAAGGACCAUCUCCUCCCUCCCCUUCCCUCCAGGGAAAGACCGAGAGUUUAAAAAUCCCUUGAAACAAACCCAACACUUGCUCCGUCAGUUUGAGAAAAGCCUUUUAUUCGCCUCAG
Molecule: long non-coding RNA, 461 nt
Filed under: Sus scrofa (pig)
Lineage: Eukaryota; Metazoa; Chordata; Mammalia; Artiodactyla; Suidae
Description: lncRNA (ENSSSCG00005010495.1)
Source: RNAcentral